GAUGAAGAACGUAGCGAAAUGCGAUACUUGGUGUGGAUUGCAGAAUCCCGUGAACCAUCGAGUCUUUGAACGCAAGUUGCGCCCGAAGCCAUUAGGCCGAGGGCACGCCUGCCUGGGCGUCACACGUCGUUGCCCCCCCAUCUACUCCUUCGGGAUUGCGGGGGGCGGAUGAUGGCCUCCCGUGCGCCUCGUCGCGCGGUUGGCAUAAAUGCCAAGUCCUCGGCGACGCACGCCACGACAAUCGGUGGUUGCGAAACCUCGGUUGCCCGUCGUGUGCGGUCGUCGCGCAUCGAGGGCUCGAAAAAAUUGUCGGGCUCCGGCUCGGCUUUCAACGCGACCCCAGGUCAGGCGGGGUUACCCGCUGAAUUUAAGCAUAUCAAUAAGCGGAGGA
Molecule: unclassified non-coding RNA, 391 nt
Filed under: soil metagenome
Description: partial contains 5.8S ribosomal RNA, internal transcribed spacer 2, and large subunit ribosomal RNA
Rfam family: 5.8S ribosomal RNA (bases 1-122)
Source: RNAcentral